CCGAAUGUGCUCACUGAGCAGGGUGCGCCCCUCCAAUGGCGCCCCCCUGGCCCACGCCGUUCGGAGAGCAAGAAGGGGCUCUGGAGCGCCGGGGGGCCCGCCUCCCGGCGCUCGCCACCUUGGUACGCAUCAUACCUUGUCCUCUGUGUGGCCCCGCGAGGGGCGAUAACACUUGGGAUCUUCACGUGCGUAACACAUCG
This 200-nucleotide small nucleolar RNA is filed under the name Euglena gracilis. Its description in RNAcentral is "H/ACA box snoRNA". The record is from RNAcentral. Lineage: Eukaryota; Euglenozoa; Euglenophyceae; Euglenales; Euglenaceae.